AAAUGAAUAGACGGGGGCCCGCACAAGCGGUGGAGCAUGUGGUUUAAUUCGAAGCAACGCGAAGAACCUUACCAAGGCUUGACAUACCAUUGAUGGGUGCAGAGAUGCACCGUUCUACGGACAAUGGAUACAGGUGGUGCAUGGUUGUCGUCAGCUCGUGUCGUGAGAUGUUGGGUUAAGUCCCGCAACGAGCGCAACCCUUAUUUUUAGUAGCCAGCGAGUGAUGUCGGGCACACUAGAAAGACUGCCGUGGAUAACACGGAGGAAGGUGGGGAUGACGUCAAAUCAUCAUGCCCCUUAUGUCUUGGGCUACACACGUGCUACAAUGGCAGGUACAGAGAGAAGCGAAGGGGUGACCUGGAGCAAAGCUCAAAAAAGCUGCCACAGUUCGGAUUGUAGUCUGCAACUCGACUACAUGAAGCUGGAAUCGCUAGUAAUCGCAAAUCAGCAUGUUGCGGUGAAUACGUUCCCGGGCCUUGUACACACCGCCCGU
This 493-nucleotide ribosomal RNA is filed under the name uncultured bacterium. Its description in RNAcentral is "bacterial SSU rRNA". It matches the Rfam family "Bacterial small subunit ribosomal RNA", at positions 903 to 1397 of the family's 1533-position model. The record is from RNAcentral.